This 627-nucleotide long non-coding RNA is filed under the name Oryza sativa (Asian cultivated rice). RNAcentral's name for it is "long non-coding RNA (OSAT_LNC000885)". The record is from RNAcentral. Lineage: Eukaryota; Viridiplantae; Streptophyta; Magnoliopsida; Poales; Poaceae.
GGUGCAGAAUUGAGACCUUCUGCACCUGCACAUUUGGAAUUUCCCAAUGCCAAACUAGGAACAAAAGAUUCACCGCCCUUUGGCCUGAUACCGGGAGGUGUCACUCUUGGUGCAGAAUUGAGACCUUCUGCACCUGCACAUUUGGAAUUCCCCAGUGCCAAACUAGGAGCAAUAGAUUCACCGCCCUUUGGCCUGAUACCCGGAGGAGUCACUCUUGGUGCAGAAUUGAUACCUUCUGCACCUGCACAUUUGGAAUUUCCCAAUGCCAAACUAGGAGCAAUAGAUUCACCGCCCUUUGGCCUGAUACCCAGUGGAGUCACUCUUGGUGCAGAAUUGAUACCUUCUGCUCCUGCACAUUUGGAAUUUCCCAAUGCCAAACCAUGAACAAGAGAUUCACCGCCCUUUGGCCUAAUACCCGGAGGUGUCGCUCUUGGUGCAGAAUUGAGACCUUCUACACCUGCAUAUUUGGAAUUUCCUAAUGCCAAACUAGGAACAAGAGAUUCACCACCCUUUGGCCUGAUACCCGGAGCAAAAAUCCCACAACUUUUAGAGGCAUUAUUUGGUUCUGUAGAAGCACGACCUGAAGGUCCUGUGCUUGGUCUAACAGAAUUGCAAACUUGCGCUGCG